Molecule: ribosomal RNA, 433 nt
Filed under: uncultured bacterium
Lineage: Bacteria
Description: partial 16S ribosomal RNA
Rfam family: Bacterial small subunit ribosomal RNA
Source: RNAcentral
GCGAACGCUGGCGGCAGGCCUAACCCCUGCAAGUCGAACGAACCUUUCGGGGUUAGUGGCGGACGGGUGAGUAACACGUGGGAACGUGCCUUUAGGUUCGGAAUAACUCAGGGAAACUUGUGCUAAUACCGAAUGUGCCCUUCGGGGGAAAGAUUAAUCGCCUUUAGAGCGGCCCGCGUCUGAUUAGCUAGUUGGUUGAGGUAAUGGCUCACCAAGGCGACGAUCAGUAGCUGGUCUGAGAGGAUGAUCAGCCACAUUGGGACUGAGACACGGCCCAAACUCCUACGGGAGGCAGCAGUGGGGAAUCUUGCGCAAUGGGCGAAAGCCUGACGCAGCCAUGCCGCGUGAAUGAUGAAGGUCUUAGGAUUGUAAAAUUCUUUCACCGGGGACGAUAAUGACGGUACCCGGAGAAGAAGCCCCGGCUAACUUCGUG